RNAcentral lists this ribosomal RNA (429 nucleotides) under uncultured prokaryote. RNAcentral describes it as "bacterial SSU rRNA". It matches the Rfam family "Bacterial small subunit ribosomal RNA", at positions 355 to 774 of the family's 1533-position model. The record is from RNAcentral.
UCGAGAAGCUUCGGCAAUGGGGGAAACCCUGACCGAGCGACGCCGCGUGAGCGAUGAAGGCCCUAGUGGUUGUAAAGCUCUGUCAGAUUGGGAAUAAAUGCCGGGGGCGAAUAACCCCUGGAGCUGAAGGUACCGUCAGAGGAAGCACCGGCUAACUCCGUGCCAGCAGCCGCGGUAAUACGGAGGGUGCAAGCGUUGUUCGGAUUCACUGGGUAUAAAGGGUGCGUAGGCGGCCUCGCAAGUCAGAGGUGAAAGCUGCCGGCUUAACUGGCAAAUUGCCUUUGAAACUGCGAGGCUUGAGUCCGGGAGAGGAAGGCGGAAUUCCUGGUGUAGCGGUGAAAUGCGUAAAUAUCAGGAGGAACACCGGUGGCGAAGGCGGCCUUCUGGUCCGGUACUGACGCUGAGGCACGAAAGCCAGGGGAGCAAACG